RNAcentral lists this long non-coding RNA (5047 nucleotides) under Homo sapiens (human). Its description in RNAcentral is "HSALNT0044422". Lineage: Eukaryota; Metazoa; Chordata; Mammalia; Primates; Hominidae. The record is from RNAcentral.
GAUUACACACCUGCAAGGGCUUUCUAACCUAUGUGUGGUCCUGCUAGAAUGCUUUCUGGUCAUGGUUACUGCAAUCAAAACCACCUAUAAGAGGACAGGUAGAAAAGCUAAUGCUUGGUAAAACACUAGUUAUUUCAUUCCCAUCACCAAAAAUAUUCUGUUUAUACAAUUCUCUUUAAUUAAGUGUAGCACAAUUGCCAUUUUUAUUAAUAGAAGCAAGAUUUAAAUGAAUAGGUUUUUUCAGUGUGACAAAUGAAUAAAAGCCAACGGAGAACAUCAUUAUUGUUUCACAUUUCCAUUAACCUUAAAAAGUCUCAAGAAACUGUGUGUUUGAGCACCAGAAUAUAUAGGUUUUAAUUACAAGAUGACUCUAUUUGGUAUUUUUAACUUGUUACAUGCUUUUACUUAGGCCAUAUACUGACAUCAACACUUAGGAAGAAAUAGGACUGCAAUGAGGACAAAACCUGUUACAGGGAAAGGAAAUGAUAGAGGCCUGGAAAACAAAGCAAAUAACAAGAGUCAGAUGUUGAAGGAAUAGAGGGAAAUAUACUAAGAGGAAAAAAUAAGAGGCGUACACAUGGCCAGGAGUAAUUUGAGUUACCAGAGGAAGCAUGGACCUGUAACUGACAGAGUGAGGAUUGUGCUCCAGAAGUAAAACAUAGUUUCAAAGCAACAGACAGGGAUUCAUAAGGGCAAAAGGAAUUUGGCAGCUGUGAUUUAAUCGAAGAUCAUGAGAUGGAAAGAUUAUUAUCUGUGUGCAUCUAACAUAAUCACAAAGGUCCUUUUAAUGUGAAAGAGGAAGACAGGAGAGUCAGAGGGUCAGAGAAGAUGUGAAUACAGAAGCAGAGGUCACAACGACGUGAGAAAGGCACAUCUGGCUUUGAAGAUAGAGGGGCGAUGUGCCGAGGAAUGCAGGAAGCCUAAAAAGCUGAAAUAAGCAAGAAGUGGAUUCUUUCCUGCUGCUGCCAGAAGGGACAUACCCCUGCAGACACCUUGAUUUUUGCCCCAUAAUACUCUUUUUAGAUUUCUGACUCAUAGAAAUAUAAGAUAAUAAAUUUGCUUUGUUGUAAGCCACUAAGUUAGUGGUAAACGGUAAGUUUGUAAAGCAAUAAGAAAUGAACAGACAUUUAAGAAUAUUAUUUUAAGUCUAUGCUUAGACUUUUCCCAAGAAUAUUUAUGCAAUGGGAUUAUAUUCUAGUUUUAUAACUGAGUUAAUUUAUAUAGCAAUAUAUCAUAAAUGUCUCUUCAAAUUAAUACAUGCACAUCUAUGGUAAUAACUAUGAAUUACUAUGUAGUAUAUUUUAUGUAUAUAUUAUAGUUAUUAAUCAAUCUGAAAUUGUGAGGCCUUUAGUUUUCUUCUUAUAUUUUUGCUAAUAUAUAGAGUGUUUGGGAAAAUAUUUUUAUAUAUGAAACUGUGUCAAUCUAUGGUUUUUUUACUUGUAUUUUCAAAUCUAAUAUUAUUAUUUAGUAUAACAUAAAUUAUUUUGAUGGGAAACUCAUAUUUUCAAUGUUUUAGGUAUAUAACUAGUUUGCCUUCCAAAAAAGGCAAAUUAAUUGCACCAAUUAUUAAUUAGCCCCAUCAGUUUAUAAGAUAGGUGGGAGAAGGGUCUGCCAUUUUUAGUUAUAAUCUAAAACCCCCAAAAAACAGAACAGUAGUUUUUUUCUGAAAAUCAGAUUUCUCACAGAAUGAAAUAAAUUAAAAACUCAUACUUGUUAUAUUCCCUUAAAACAAUAGAAGAAUGAUGUAGAUGGAGUAUAUGUCCUUAUCAUGCAACUCAGAUUAUAUACCUAAAAAUAUGCAACUCAUAGUUAUUUGAAAAAUUAAUAUAGAAACCUAGAUUGAAACCUUUAAAAAGUUGCCAAAAAUCACCAUUUAAAAUUAGUUGAUUUAUUAAAAUUUUGAACAGGAAGUUUAUUCAAUGUAUUUAAGACAAAAAUUAAUGUUGGUAGAUAUUACAUAAAACCUAGAAAUCUAUUUCCCCAUAUUAAAAACGAAUAAUGAAGUAAGAAAAGAGAGAGAGAAAUGACGGGAAAAAAUGAAUACACAAUAGAUAGUUCAAAUGAUUAAAUGGUAAGUGAAAAGGAUUUAAAAAAUAAAAAACAGUGAGGAAAAAUAUUAUCUCCAAUGGCUGUGUCUCAUAGCUUAUUAGUCUCUUAUCAAAUGCACUGUUUUAAAGAAAAUUAUUGCAGUAAUGCUAAUUUCUUUAUAUAUUUUGGACAUGAAAACCUGUAUUAGGAGGCAACAAAAUAAUUUGCACAGUAGUAUGAAUACUGUAUUUGAUAAACAAUAAUUUUUUAAGAUGGGUUUGUAGAGUACCACGGACUAUAUUUCAGAUUUCAAAAGUAGAAGAUAUGAGCAAUUUCUUCUAAUAAAUGUUUACAAAAUGAUCAGGUAAAUAAAUCACCUUUUACAAAUCUAUCAAAUUAAAAAAUUGAAAUCUGGAGAAGUUAGGAGGCUUGCCAAAUAGUUCAAAGAAAGUAUUUUUAUGAGACUCCAACACUAUUGACUUUCAGCUUAACACUUGUUUAUAUCAUGCACAAUAUCAAAUAUAGAGUAUAAGAAGGGAAUAUAAUACAGAAAGUAAUAUAAUCAUUUCAAAAAAAGUGAAGCUGAAUUUUUAAAAAAUAUAAUUCUCCUAUAAUUUUUUAGGUACUUGAAAAUUAUAUUGGCCUAUUUUAUUUAUUUUGUUAGAUAGUGAUGGUGCAAAUACUGGUCUUUAGAAACAGAACAAUGCUCCAAAAUUACCCUAUGCUGCAUAUUGCCAAUAAUAUAACUGUAAGAUAUGUAUUUAGUCUUAAACUAUCUUAUUUAUCACCAAAUACCUACAGCUAACAGCUGAAGGGAACGAUACAAUUCUGAAUAAGCAUGUAUAAAGAAUGCUUAGGGCUUAAGCACAAACUAAAUAAAGUUUAUCGCUUUUGUCUUCUUUUCUCAUCGCUUUAAAGGAUGCUUGUUGCAAUUCUAAAACAGAAUAGUGAUGGAACCAAGGUCCCCAUUUUCUUUCCGGCUGUCAGGUGAGGGCCACUCACAACUUCUUGAGGCUGCCACGUUCCUUGUUUCAUGGUCUCCCUCCUUCCUCCACUUUUAAAGCUAAAGACGUGAGACUGGUCAUAUUGAAGGUCUUUGGCCCUCCGUUCUCCAUCUGUUCUCACAUCUCUGACCACAAUCAGUAAUAAUUAUCCACUUUAGGGCCUCAUGUGAUUAUAUUUGGUCCACUUGGAUAAUCCAGGAUAAUCUCCUCAUCCCAACAUUCUUAGCUUUAUCACAUCUGCAAAGUCCCUUUUGCCCUGAAUUACAACAUAUUCACAAAUUCCAGAGAUAGGGUUGUGGGCAUCUUUGGUGGGUGCAAUUAUUCUGCCCACCAUACUAUAAGAUUGUUUAAGGUAGUGGAAAUAAAUCUUUCUUAAAAGUCCAGAAAGCAUAUAAAAUGACUUACUGGUAAUUACGCAGAGUUAAAUAUUUUAACUAUCUGUUAAAAUGAUAAAUGUUAUGACUUAGAAUAAAAACGUACUCCCAUUAUAACCUUUGUUAUCAAAAUACCUGCAAUAGUAAGAUCUUCCAGUUUAAAAAAUAAUAGUCAUUUUUGAUAAAUGGGUAUGACCGAUGUGCAGAAUUUUCUUUUUAAGUAAAGCUUUUAUAGUUAACAUAUAAUAUAAAUUUCAAGGUGAGGAGAUGGGGCAAGAUGGCAGAAUAGAAGGCUCUACCGAUUGUCCCCUCUACAAGGACACCAAUUUAAAAACUAUUUACACCAUAAAAGCACCUUCAUAAGAACCAGAAUUCAGGUGAGCACCCACAGUACCUGGUUUUUAAUUCAUAUAGCUGAAAGAGGCACUGAAGAGAUGUAAAAAACUGUCUUGAAUCGCAGAUGCCACCCCACUCCCGUUUUCCAGCAAUGGCGGCAUGGUGCUGAGAGCAUUUCCGUAACUUAGGGAGAGGAAGAACUCAGCAAUUGUGAGAAAUUUGAGAAAUUGAACUCAGCGCUGCCGUGUUAAAGCAGAAAGAAAAUGCUGACCAAACACUGCUGAUGCUCCUCCAUGGAGGGAGCAUUUAAAUCAGCCCUAGCCAGAGGGGAAUUGUCAAUCCCAGCAGUCAGACCUUAAUUUCCUGCAAGCAUCACCACCACAGGAGAAAGGCUCUGGGGUCUUAAAUAAACUUGAAAGGCAGUUUAGGCCACAAGGACUGAAACUCCUAGGUGAAUCCUAGUGCAGAAAGGGACCUAGAGCCAGAGGACUAGGAGUGCACAAGACUGACUGAGACACCAGCCUGGCUGGCUAAGGGAGUAUUGGCCUCACCCCUACCCCAAACCCAGGCUUCACAGCUUGUGGCUCCAAAACAAACCCCUUUCUUCUGCUUGAGGAGAGGAAAGGAGAGAGCAGGGAGGACUUUGUUUUGCAUCCUGGAUACCAGCUAAGCCACAGCAGGAUAAGGUAUUGGUCAGAGUCAUGAGGCCCACUUUCCAGGGCCUAGCUCCCGAAUGACAUUUCUAGGCAAACUCUUGGACAGAAGGGCACCUGAUGUCUUGAAGGGAAGGAACCAGUUCUAGCAGGAUUUAUCACCUGAUGACUGAAGAGACCUUGGGUCCUGAAAAAACAUCAGCAAUAGCUAGGUACUACAUCAAGGGCCUUGGGUGAGACACUGAGACUUGCCGACUUCAGGUAAGACCCAGCCCAUCCCCAGCUGUGUUGGCUACAGGGAGAGACUUCUGCUUGAGUAAAGCAAAGGGAAAAGUAAAGGAGACUUUGUCUUAUACCUUAGGUAACAACUCAGCCACAUGGUCAUAGAGCACCAAGUGGGUUCUUGGGGUCUUUCAUUCCAGGCCUUGGAUCUUAGACAGUAUUAUUGGACCUGCCCUGGGCCAGAGAGGAGCACACUGUGAUGGUUAAUACUGUCAACUUGAUUGGAUUGAAGGAUGCAAAAUAUUGAUCCUGGGUGUGUCAAAGGAGAUUAACAUUUGAGUCAGUGGGAUGUAAAAGGCAGACCCACUCUCAAUCUGGGUGGGCACAAUCUAAUUAGCUGCCAGUGUGUCCAGGAUAUAAAGCAGGCAGA